This 75-nucleotide transfer RNA is filed under the name Breznakibacter xylanolyticus. RNAcentral's name for it is "Cytophaga xylanolytica tRNA-Arg". It matches the Rfam family "tRNA". From Rfam's summary of the family: Transfer RNA (tRNA) molecules are approximately 80 nucleotides in length. The record is from RNAcentral. Lineage: Bacteria; Pseudomonadati; Bacteroidota; Bacteroidia; Marinilabiliales; Marinilabiliaceae.
GGUUCCGUAGUUCAACGGAUAGAAUAAUAGUUUCCUAAACUGUAGAUCCGGGUUCGAUUCCCGGCGGGACUACGA